GACCACGCACACACUCCUUGGCCUGUGGCCGAGGGAGGGUGUCACAGGCCCACAUCCUGUCUCCCCCCGCUCGGGACGUGUUUUAUUUAUCUUGCUUUAUACACACGUUAAGUGGGACAUGGUCAAAACCCUUCUCGUUUCCUCCACGUAGGCAGAGCUGACCCUGCAGACGCUGGAAGUUUUCAUUCGGGUCAGCAAGUUGUGGACGUGAAGUAGGACUUUAAAGUAGGGGACUCCUGGGGAUUAAUCCUGAGCAGAAUUCUCGAAGACGACUCAAGUUUAAUCAAGUAGGAAGAAACUGGGAAGGAGUGAUAUUGGGAGCAUUGAUCAAGAGAAGGCAUACACAACAGAUCUGUAUUCACUGGCUGGUCGCUAUCUGCAUGCAUCCUGGUACCACUGAGCCCUGGACAGAGGACUGUUAGCAUCUCACUGGGAGCCACUGCUGUGCAAAGCAGGUACACAACAUAGCGAUUCGAUGACUAUCUACAUUAUGAAAUGCUCCCCACAAGAGGUGUAGUUACCAUCUGUCACCACACAAAUUUAUGACCAUGUUGGAAUCAUCGUAACCACACUUGUGUUCAUUGUUUAUCACCCCCGACUAAACAAAUUACCAUGUUCCUGCAUGUUAUUUCGCCGUGAGCAGGAGCACUCAUCACCUACCGUCGUGUCAUUUUGUUGGGGACACUGCCCACCAUUGACCUCUGUCAGGGCUGACGGAUUGGACCACAUGAGGUAUUUUGUGCCAGACUUGGAGGGAAGCAAUAAAGCAGCAACAUGUCUCUUUGAAGAAAUAACUGGAGUCAGUAGCUUUCCUGUACAUCACAAAUAGCCAAUUAUAAAGUAUAAUAAAAGAGGAGUUUCUUCAAUCCAGAAAAGAUGGAAUACUUACAUCUCACCACAUUCCUCCCACCAAAAACCAUGAACACUGUGCACAAAACAAGCACAAGGCUGCAAGGGUGGUGUUUCUGGAGUUCUCCUUCUGCCUUCUAUGGAUCCUGGGUUGGGGGCUAGAGAAGCCUACAACCCAGACACAUCAGCAGGAUGAGAUUCUGUUAAAGGUCCCAAGAAAAGCCAGCUCUCUUGCCACAGCAAUAAUAAAGGGGCAAAUCUCAGAAGACAGAAGCCUCUUGACCAUGACCAGCUCAGGCUAACAUCGUGAGAAACACGCAAACACAAAUCAAGAGAAAACAGGAGAGGCUGUAUGAAUAUCGAGUUAAGUAGACUGCACAGCAAAGUGACAGCAUCAAAGCUGAGAGCUGAACUUUGCCUGACACAGGCAGUACCUACCACAACUACACUAUCUGUGUGGGUGUGGAAUCCCACGGCAUUUACAACUCUUCCUGCGGUUGGUUUGGGACCAUGAGCCUGAGUUAUCUGCUGUGUGACAUUGUUGUAAGUGACGUGGUACUUCUGGGUCUAGCCACAGAUCUCCUUGUGCUUUUCCAUUAUUUUCCACAUCGACCUUGGAAGCCACAUGACCUACACCGUCCCUGUGCCCAGAUCCCAGAGUCACUGCAUGGAGGCGAGCAUCCAGGUGGGGUGCCACCUAACCCUCACUGUGACUUGUGGACUUAUGUGUCACUGUCACUAAUGCAACAAAGACAAUUCCACGGGGACGUGGGACUGGAAUUCAGCUUUCAGUUGUAACUAGAGCGCCUUGGAGAAUGAUGACACAUGAACGGCAGGGAGCUUAACUGUAUUAUUCAUUCGAAAUACUUGGUUUAGCAAAAUAUGUGAAUGAAUAUUGGGCGAAUAAGUAUCAAAAGUCCACAGACCCGCUAAUGAUUCCAUGAUUCAGUGUCUGAAGGAUCUUUAAUUUCCCCAGGAAAGAUUUCACUCACAUCACAUCUUUACGUUCGCAUGCAGUGAGCGCUUCUAAAGCCAGUGCCAGAAACUGCGGUCUAGUCUGACACGUUGGCUCUAAUCUCCACAGCAAACCGGCCUGGGAUCUAUCAUUUCUCUUCCACUGAAACAGAUAUCCAGACUCACGGAAGUUAGGCAGCACAAACAACUGAACAAAGUACAGUUCUAAUCUAGGUAUUUGUGGCGUCAGAGUCCAGGUUCUUGCCACUAAAAUUUCUAACUCACUGAAACCAAUCUGUGUAUUUAUAAUGCUAUUUUUUUUUCAUUUUGUGAAUUUCACAUUAGAACCUAGUACACACUAAAUUAACAAAAUGCUGCUAUUGCAUUUUAAAAUCUGUAAAUUUUUUUUGAGAAUCUGUACAUUCUUUCCCCGUUGGGUGCUGUCUUCUAUUAGCUCAACCUUGUGAAUGACGUUGUUC
Canis lupus familiaris (dog) is the source of this 2282-nucleotide long non-coding RNA. RefSeq lists it as uncharacterized. The transcript is spliced from 7 exons. The record is from RefSeq and is a predicted model, not a curated record. NCBI's taxonomy places the organism in Eukaryota, Metazoa, Chordata, Mammalia, Carnivora, Canidae.